RNAcentral lists this ribosomal RNA (457 nucleotides) under Dialister invisus. RNAcentral describes it as "bacterial SSU rRNA". It matches the Rfam family "Bacterial small subunit ribosomal RNA", at positions 28 to 454 of the family's 1533-position model. Lineage: Bacteria; Bacillati; Bacillota; Negativicutes; Veillonellales; Veillonellaceae. The record is from RNAcentral.
GACGAACGCUGGCGGCGUGCUUAACACAUGCAAGUCGAACGAAAAGACGGAAAGAGCUUGCUCUUUUCAGAAUUGAGUGGCAAACGGGUGAGUAACACGUAAACAACCUGCCUUCAGGAUGGGGACAACAGACGGAAACGACUGCUAAUACCGAAUAAGUUCCAAGGACCGCAUGGCCCAUGGAAGAAAAGGUGGCCUCUACCUGUAAGCUAUCGCCUGAAGAGGGGUUUGCGUCUGAUUAGCUGGUUGGAGGGGUAACGGCCCACCAAGGCGACGAUCAGUAGCCGGUCUGAGAGGAUGAACGGCCACACUGGAACUGAGACACGGUCCAGACUCCUACGGGAGGCAGCAGUGGGGAAUCUUCCGCAAUGGGCGAAAGCCUGACGGAGCAAACGCCGCGUGAGUGAUGACGGCCCUUUCGGGUUGUAAAAACUCUGUGAUUCCGGGACGAAAAGGC